RNAcentral lists this ribosomal RNA (282 nucleotides) under unidentified marine bacterioplankton. Its description in RNAcentral is "partial 16S ribosomal RNA". It matches the Rfam family "Bacterial small subunit ribosomal RNA", at positions 65 to 339 of the family's 1533-position model. The record is from RNAcentral.
AGCGGGAUCCAUCCAGUAGCAAUACUGGUGAAGAUCUAGCGGCGAACGGGUGAGUAACACGUGAGAAACCUGCCCCGAACUCUGGGAUAACACGAGGAAACCCGUGCUAAUACCGGAUACCUUCUUUUGGCCGCAUGGUCAGAUGAAGAAAGAUUUAUUGGUUUGGGAGGGUCUCGCGGCCUAUCAGCUAGUUGGCGGGGUAAUGGCCCACCAAGGCAUCGACGGGUAGCCGGCCUGAGAGGGCGACCGGCCACACUGGGACUGAGACACGGCCCAGACUCC